UUUUUUUUUUUUUUUUUUUUUUUGGCCACACUUGCAGCAUGUGGAAGUUCCCCAGGCCAGGGUGUGAGUUUGCACCACAGCCAUAACCACAGCCACAGCAGUGACAGUGGUUCCCAGACCAGGGAUUAAACCUAGGAUACAGUAGUGAAAGCACAGAAUCCUAACCAUUAGACAACCAGAGAACUCCCAGAUGAUGUUUUGGUUUUUUUUGUUUUUUUGUUUUUUUUUUAGGGCUGCACCUGUGGCAUAGGGAAGUUACAGGCUAGGGGUUUAAUUGAAGCUGCGGCUGCAGGCUUAUGCCACAGGCCACAGAAACACUGGAUCUGAGCCGCAUCUGCAACCUACGCCGUAGUUUGCGGCAACGCCAGGUCCUUACACCACUGAGUCAGGUCAGGGAUCAAACCCACAUCCUCACAGACAUUAUGUGGGGUUCUUAACCCUCUGAGCCACGACAGGAACUCCCAGAUCCUGUAUUUUAUGUUUUUUUUCCUUGCUUUUUAGGGCUGGCAGCUGUAGCACCGAUUAGACCCCAAGCCUGGGAACCUUCAUAUGCCGUGGGAGUGACCCUAGAAAAGACAAAAAAGAAAAGAAAAAGUUAUUCAAUGUCUCCUUGCUUUUCUAGGGCCACACCCGGGGCAUAUGGAGGUUCCUAGGCUAGGGGUCCAAUCGGAGCUACAGCUGCCAGUCUACACCAGAGCCACAGCAACGCCAGAUCCGAGCUGUGUCUGUGACCUACAUCACAGCUCAGGGCAAUGCCAGAUCCUUAAUCCACUGAGCAAGGCCAGGGAUCAAACCUGAAACCUCUUGGUUCCUAGUUGGAGUUGUUUUCUGCUGAACCACAACAGGAACUCCCUUAUUGAAUGCCUUCUACGUGAAUGAUAAUUGAUAUAUUCCCCACGUUCUAUAUGGUCAGGAACUAUAUAUUUCUUCUCCAUGUUUAUAUCCCAUUAUGUAUCACAUUGCCCAAUACACAGUAGAUACUUCAUAGUAUUGAUUAAAUAGUUGAAGACUAAAUAAAAAAGAUAACCUUAAUACCCUUGAAAGGCUCAAUACCUGGGGUUCACACAGUGAGUGGCUCAGUGGUUGAUGAAUCCGACUAGGAACCAUGAGGUUGCUCAGUGUGUUAAGGAUCCGGCGUUGCCGUGAGCUGUGGUGUAGGUUGCAGACUCAGCGGAUCCCGCAUUGCUGUGGCUCUGGCGUAGGCCGGUGGCUACAGCUCCGAUUAGCCCCUAGCCUGGGACCCUCCAUGCCGCGGGUAUGGCCCUAAAAAGACAAAAAAAAAGCUUAAUACCAAAUAGGUGAAAUAAUACAAGUGUACAAGUAACUGUUAUAGUGAUAGAUGUAAAAUAAAAAAUACACCAGGUUCUAUAGAUAUAGAAAUAUUCAAAAAUAAAAAUAAAUGAAGAUUUCAAGCAGAAGUAAUAUUUAUGCUGAAGUGAAUUAAAAAAUAGACCUCAGGGAGUUCCCGUCGUGGCGCAGUGGUUAACGAAUCCGGCUAGGAACCAUGAGGUUUCGGGUUCCAUCCCUGGUGGCUCAGUGGGUCAAGGAUCCGGCGUUGCUGUGAGCCCAUGGCAUAGGUUGCAGACAUGGUUGGAUCCCGCAUUGCUGUGGCUCUUGUGUAGGCCGGUGGCUACAGCUCUGAUUCCACCCCUAGCCUGGGAACCUCCAGAAAAG
This 1674-nucleotide long non-coding RNA is filed under the name Sus scrofa (pig). RNAcentral describes it as "lncRNA (ENSSSCG00025077688.1, ENSSSCG00065073213.1)". The record is from RNAcentral. Lineage: Eukaryota; Metazoa; Chordata; Mammalia; Artiodactyla; Suidae.